UCCAGCCUGGGCCACAGAGUGAGACUCCAUCUCAAAAAAGAAAAAAAAGAAAGAAAACUUGGACCUGCAAUCUGGUUCUGGGUCUGUGGUCCCCUACCAAAUUGCUGAGGGAAUUCAGUAAUGCCUGUGCCCUUAAGCUGGGCUUUAGGUGCCUCUGGGAUAGGCCAGGAAGAAACAUAGGAUUCUGAUGCUGCCAAGUUAUUAACAGAAGGAGGGAAAGGAGGAGGAAGGGAGGAAGGCCAUGGGCGAGACAGGAGGCUGCGGUACUAGUGGGGAUGCAGGGGAGGGGCCAGUGUACAGGAAAGCCCUCUCCGAGAGGGGUCUAGAGGCUCCUCUGAGCCUCUGGGUUUCAAGGAGGAAGAGCCAUUUCCUGGCUUGAACAAUGGAUGCUAGGGAAGAGGUCCAAAGAAGAGGAAGGGGUGGGACCAGCAGCUGUGCUGGAUGUCGAGGAAUCCUAUGUUCAAGUUGAUAGGGGUUUCAGAGGCAGGCCCAGGGGCUGGGGAAAUUCCACAUAGGAGUUCCUUCUCCCCUCACCAAUAACAGCCAACAAUCCAAGAGACACCCCUGCUUACCUUCUCCUCCCACUUCAAACACAUGUGCUUUGGGUUCACCGCAUCAGACUCCCAUCUGGGGAGUUUCUUAAAGUACAUAUACUUAGGCCUCCAGUGGCUGAGGUAACUUUAGCUGGCCAAUCAAGAGGUUUCCUGGCACUAAGAUCAAUAAGACUAAAGUUCUGGUUUUAAAAACAGUGGGCGUUCAGGAGAGAGGAUGCUUAGCCAAGCACUGGGAUGUUAAAAAUCACUGCAGAUCACAGGAAAUGGUACUUACCUACCUGGCUUCCUGCCUUCUACCCCAUAAACACAUAUACACACACACACACGAAGCCAAAA
Sapajus apella (tufted capuchin) is the source of this 890-nucleotide long non-coding RNA. RefSeq lists it as uncharacterized. The record is from RefSeq and is a predicted model, not a curated record. NCBI's taxonomy places the organism in Eukaryota, Metazoa, Chordata, Mammalia, Primates, Cebidae. The transcript has 2 exons.